RNAcentral lists this microRNA precursor (92 nucleotides) under Asparagus officinalis (garden asparagus). RNAcentral's name for it is "miR12163 stem-loop (aof-MIR12163)". The record is from miRBase by way of RNAcentral. Lineage: Eukaryota; Viridiplantae; Streptophyta; Magnoliopsida; Asparagales; Asparagaceae.
CAAGCGGAUUAUUCCGCUCGUUUGACUCUAGCAGCCAACAGAGCAUGUGGCUGUCAGCAACUAGAGUCAAACAAGCAGAAAGAUCUGCCUGU